GAUGAACGCUGACAGAAUGCUUAACACAUGCAAGUCUACUUGAUCCUUCGGGUGAUGGUGGCGGACGGGUGAGUAACGCGUAAAGAACUUGCCCUGCAGUCUAGGACAACAUUUGGAAACGAAUGCUAAUACCGGAUAUUAUGUGAGUUUCGCAUGAAAUUCAUAUGAAAGCUAUAUGCGCUGCAGGAGAGCUUUGCGUCCUAUUAGCUAGUUGGUGAGGUAACGGCUCACCAAGGCGAUGAUAGGUAGCCGGCCUGAGAGGGUGAGCGGCCACAAGGGGACUGAGACACGGCCCUUACUCCUACGGGAGGCAGCAGUGGGGAAUAUUGGACAAUGGACCAAAAGUCUGAUCCAGCAAUUCUGUGUGCACGAUGAAGUUUUUCGGAAUGUAAAGUGCUUUCAGUUGGGACGAAGUAAGUGACGGUACCAACAGAAGAAGCGACGGCUAAAUACGUGCCAGCAGCCGCGGUAAUACGUAUGUCGCAAGCGUUAUCCGGAUUUAUUGGGCGUAAAGCGCGUCUAGGCGGUUUGGUAAGUCUGAUGUGAAAAUGCGGGGCUCAACUCCGUAUUGCGUUGGAAACUGCCAAACUAGAGUACUGGAGAGGUGGGCGGAACUACAAGUGUAGAGGUGAAAUUCGUAGAUAUUUGUAGGAAUGCCGAUGGGGAAGCCAGCCCACUGGACAGAUACUGACGCUAAAGCGCGAAAGCGUGGGUAGCAAACAGG
Molecule: ribosomal RNA, 724 nt
Filed under: uncultured bacterium
Lineage: Bacteria
Description: bacterial SSU rRNA
Rfam family: Bacterial small subunit ribosomal RNA
Source: RNAcentral